This 313-nucleotide long non-coding RNA is filed under the name Gallus gallus (chicken). RNAcentral describes it as "lncRNA (ENSGALG00010028932.1)". Lineage: Eukaryota; Metazoa; Chordata; Aves; Galliformes; Phasianidae. The record is from RNAcentral.
CCAACCCCGUAACCAACGCCCGAGGCCAGCGGAGGCCAUUUGCGCUCCUUCCCGGCCAGUCUGAGACUCGCGCCCCUUUGUGGCCAUUCUGAGACUUGCGCUGAUUUUGGCAGGUGCAGUCAAUUGAUCUCAGCCAAAUUGGCUUUAGCUUUGCAAUCAAUUGAUCUCAUCCAAAUUGGCUUUAGCUUUGCCUUGCUUACGGGGUUGGGUUAGCUUUGCUUUGUUUGUUUGUACCGCAGGGCUAACCCAACCCCGUAACCAACGCCCGAGGCCAGCGGAGGCCAUUUGCGCCCCUUCCCGGCCAGUCUGAGAC